RNAcentral lists this ribosomal RNA (449 nucleotides) under uncultured eukaryote. RNAcentral's name for it is "bacterial SSU rRNA". It matches the Rfam family "Eukaryotic small subunit ribosomal RNA", at positions 619 to 1057 of the family's 1831-position model. The record is from RNAcentral.
UUAAAAAGCUCGUAGUUGAAUUUCUGGGUGGGCCGGCGGUCCGCUGUAUUUAUUGCAGUGUGUACUUGCGUGUGUCCGUUCAUAUUUGUGGAGUGCGUUGCGGCGGGCAUUAGUUUGUUUGCUGUGCGUGUUAAUCUCUGCAUCGAUUACUGUGAACAAAUUAGAGUGUUCAAAGCAGGCUUAUUAGCUUGAAUACAUUAGCAUGGAAUAAUGAUAUAGGACUUUGGUGCUAUUUCGUUGGUUGUGUACUGAGGUAAUGAUUAAUAGGGAUAGUUGGGGGUAUUCAUAUUUGAUUGUCAGAGGUGAAAUUCUUGGAUUUUUCAAAGAUGAACAAGUGCGAAAGCAUAUACCAAGGAUGUUUUCAUUAAUCAAGAACGAAAGUCAGGGGAUCUAAUAGGAUUAGAUACCCUCGUAGUCUUGACCAUAAACUAUGCCGACUCAGGAUUGGC